RNAcentral lists this long non-coding RNA (1040 nucleotides) under Chrysemys picta bellii (western painted turtle). Its description in RNAcentral is "lncRNA (ENSCPBG00000010295.1)". The record is from RNAcentral. Lineage: Eukaryota; Metazoa; Chordata; Testudines; Emydidae.
AAUCGGGAGAAUGCAGCUUGGAAUUUCUGUGAACCCAAAGCACGUGACCGUCUUCCUUCCCCCCCCCAGAUUAAAAACAAACAAACACCAAAACAAACUGGAUUGAGGAGAGUUCUUCCUUGGAAUCAGGAGCCAAAAAGACCUUGGAUUUCACAGGAAAUAAUACCUGGGAAGAAAUACCUGCCUGUUCAGCUGACUAAAACAAAUGGCUUCCUCGUAAUGAAAAAUAUUGCGCAAGAAGGAGGACUGAUAUACUCUGAAAAAUGUUAUCAUCCACUCCCGGAGUAUGGUCAGCUGGCUGUGAAGCUCACAAACAAAGGACUCAAUUUUGGAUCCAAACACUUGUCUCCCUAUUAUUUUUUAAAUGCUGAUGAACUAUUUUCUGUUUUCCCUGUAUAUCAUCAUGUCAGCCUACAGUUUCAUGCACUGCAAUGAAACAUACUUUAGCUUGUGUUACCUUAAAUCAGGGGUCGGCAACCUUUCAGAAGUGGUGUGCUGAGUCUUCAUUUAUUCACUCUAAUUUAAGGUUUCGUGUGCCAGUAAUACAUUUUAACCUUUUUAGAAGGUCUCUUUCUAUAAGUCUAUAAUAUAUAACUAAACUAUUGUUGUAUGUAAAGUAAAUAAGGGUUUUAAAAUGUUUAAGAAGCUUCAUUUAAAAUUAAAUUAAAAUGCAGAGUCCCCCGGACCAGUGGCCAGGACCUGGGUAGUGUGAGUGCCACUGAAAAUCAGCUCGCAUGCCGCCUUCGGUAUGUGUGCCAUAGGUUGCCUACCCCUGCCUUAAAUUAUCAGCAUGUUUUAAGAGUUGUUUUUUUCAGAUUCAACACGUAAAUCAGACAGUGAGACUCUAUCUGGUUCAGAUUCAUUGUGGCACAUGAAGACCAAACAAGUAACUGUUCAUGCACGACCAGCAUUAUUGCCACAGUAUUUGGCAGAUCUGUAUUCAUGAGGCAAACAUGCAGAGAUCUCUAAAAACUGCAAUGUUCUCCAUUUUGAGAAGUGAGUGUGUGGUUAUUAAUAAAAAAUUAGAAAAAAAUUAAACA